This 756-nucleotide long non-coding RNA is filed under the name Equus caballus (horse). RNAcentral's name for it is "lncRNA (ENSECAG00000052106.1)". The record is from RNAcentral. Lineage: Eukaryota; Metazoa; Chordata; Mammalia; Perissodactyla; Equidae.
AAUCACUGGCUGUUUAUAUCCACUUGGAAGAUUCAAAGAAGCGUCCACACCUGAGCCUUGCCGAGGGGAAGCAAUUCUGUUUAAAAACCUGCAGAGAAAUGUUUCCUCGCCUCUCCCUUCCUGGCCUCCUGUGGCUAAACCCCACCUCUGCUGCAGAGGAUGUCAUACAAGAGUGAACAAGACCGAAGACUUUGGAGGUAUACAGACCAGCAAGGUUCAACUCCUACUCCUGCACUUUCUACUUUUGCAGGGUUAGGUGAAUCCUCUCUCCAAGCUCUGUAUCCUUAUCAGUAGAAUAAGGAUAAACAUACCUGCCUUGCAGGGCUGUUUGAAGAAUAACUGAGAAAAACACAAACAGUCUGUGAUCACUCACACAACUCCAGGUGGUAUUUUCCAGACUCCCAGACAGACAUGCCCAUGUGAGGGAUGCAAGCCUAACUUUGAGCAGCGCUGAUGGCCAAUCACCAACACAAGCAUGAAAUUCUGUGGUGGGGCAGCUUGUCAGUAAUUUGAAAACCCGUGAAGACGCUGGAAAUGGAAGAUUGUUGUGUGCUCUGCAGAGUAGAAAGGGAAGAGCUUCUAUUCCUGAUGUUGGCAGAAAGAACCGCAGGGGCCAUGCUGGCUCCGGGAGAAAUGGGGCGUCAUCUGGAGACCAGUCAACACUCAUUCGCCACCUCCAGUCUCUAAACAAGAUGGAAACUGGCAGCCCUCAAACAUGUUUCACUUGGCCCACACAUUGGUUUUGAAAAUUCAUAU